Molecule: ribosomal RNA, 497 nt
Filed under: uncultured bacterium
Lineage: Bacteria
Description: partial 16S ribosomal RNA
Rfam family: Bacterial small subunit ribosomal RNA
Source: RNAcentral
GAUGAACGCUGGCGGCGUGCCUAAUACAUGCAAGUCGAGCGAACAGACGAGGAGCUUGCUCCUCUGACGUUAGCGGCGGAGGGGUGAGUAACACGUGGAUAAACUACCUAUAAGACUGGGAUAACUUCGGGAAACCGGAGCUAAUACCGGAUAAUAUAUUGAACCGCAUGGGUCAAUAGUGAAAGACGGUUUUGCUGUCACUUAUAGCUGGAUCCGCGCCGCAUUAGCUAGUUGGUAAGGUAACGGCUUACCAAGGCAACGAUGCGUAGCCGACCUGAGAGGGUGAUCGGCCACACUGGAACUGAGACACGGCCCAGACUCCUACGGGAGGCAGCAGUAGGGAAUCUUCCGCAAUGGGCGAAAGCCUGACGGAGCAACGCCGCGUGAGUGCUGAAGGUCUUCUGAUCGUAAAACUCUGUUAUUAGUGAAGAACAAAUGUGUAAGUAACUAUGCACGUCUUGACGGUACCUAAUCAGAAAGCCCCGGCUAACUACGUG